AGCAGCCGCGGUAAUUCCAGCUCCAAUAGCGUAUAUUAAAGUUGUUGCAGUUAAAAAGCUCGUAGUUGAAUUUCGAGAUCAAAUUGUUGGUCGUGCCUCGGUACGUACUGGCAUUAUUGAUUCCUCCCUUCUGAAGAACCACGAUGUCAUUAAUUUGGUGUCGUGGGGAAUCAGGACUGUUACUUUGAAAAAAUUAGAGUGUUUAAAGCAGGCUCACGCUUGAAUACAUUAGCAUGGAAUAAUGAAAUAGGACGUUUGAUUCUAUUUUGUUGGUUUCUAGGAUCGACGUAAUGAUUAAUAGGGAUAGUUGGGGGCAUUAGUAUUCAAUUGUCAGAGGUGAGAUUCUUGGAUUUAUUGAAGACUAACUACUGCGAAAGCAUUUGCCAAGGAUGUUUUCAUUAAUCAAGAACGAAAGUUAGGGGAUCGAAGACGAUCAGAUACCGUCGUAGUCUUAACCAUAAACUAUGCCGACUAGGGAUCGGAUGAUGUUAAUUUUUAAUGA
RNAcentral lists this ribosomal RNA (502 nucleotides) under uncultured Glomus. Its description in RNAcentral is "SSU rRNA". It matches the Rfam family "Eukaryotic small subunit ribosomal RNA", at positions 569 to 1074 of the family's 1831-position model. The record is from RNAcentral. Lineage: Eukaryota; Fungi; Glomeromycota; Glomeromycetes; Glomerales; Glomeraceae.